This 151-nucleotide ribosomal RNA is filed under the name uncultured Streptococcus sp. Its description in RNAcentral is "partial 16S ribosomal RNA". It matches the Rfam family "Bacterial small subunit ribosomal RNA", at positions 338 to 480 of the family's 1533-position model. Lineage: Bacteria; Bacillati; Bacillota; Bacilli; Lactobacillales; Streptococcaceae. The record is from RNAcentral.
CCUACGGGAGGCAGCAGUAGGGAAUCUUCGGCAAUGGGGGCAACCCUGACCGAGCAACGCCGCGUGAGUGAAGAAGGUUUUCGGAUCGUAAAGCUCUGUUGUAAGUCAAGAACGGGUGUGAGAGUGGAAAGUUCACACUGUGACGGUAGCU